RNAcentral lists this ribosomal RNA (442 nucleotides) under uncultured bacterium. RNAcentral describes it as "partial 16S ribosomal RNA". It matches the Rfam family "Bacterial small subunit ribosomal RNA", at positions 338 to 795 of the family's 1533-position model. The record is from RNAcentral.
CCUACGGGGCGCAGCAGUGGGGAAUAUUGGGCAAUGGGCGCAAGCCUGACCCAGCAACGCCGCGUGAAGGAAGAAGGCUUUCGGGUUGUAAACUUCUUUUAAGGGGGAAGAGCAGAAGACGGUACCCCUUGAAUAAGCAACGGCUAACUACGUGCCAGCAGCCGCGGUAAUACGUAGGUGGCAAGCGUUGUCCGGAUUUACUGGGUGUAAAGGGCGUGCAGCCGGAGAGACAAGUCAGAUGUGAAAUCCACGGGCUCAACCCGUGAACUGCAUUUGAAACUGUUUCCCUUGAGUGUCGGAGAGGUAAUCGGAAUUCCUUGUGUAGCGGUGAAAUGCGUAGAUAUAAGGAAGAACACCAGUGGCGAAGGCGGAUUACUGGACGAUAACUGACGGUGAGGCGCGAAAGCGUGGGGAGCAAACAGGAUUAGAUACCCCAGUAGUC